UAACAACACAAGAUACCACCUUUAUUUGAUUUUGCGAGUAUAAUUAAGUACUCUUGAUUAAUUUACAUUCAUCUAAACCUAAUUAAGGUUUGAUUAGUAUGUAAUUAGUAGAAAUCAUUUAUUGGGAUGCCAAAAAAUAUUGGAUGGCCAUGGGUCAUGUGCAUGUGCAUGUGCAUGUAUAUGAAAUCAUUUCAUGGACUCGAUGAGAUCAUAUAACCUGAUUCAUCAACUAACUUUCAGCUUCAACACAUUAAAAAAUAAAUAA
RNAcentral lists this long non-coding RNA (265 nucleotides) under Carica papaya (papaya). Its description in RNAcentral is "long non-coding RNA (CPAP_LNC006098)". The record is from RNAcentral. Lineage: Eukaryota; Viridiplantae; Streptophyta; Magnoliopsida; Brassicales; Caricaceae.